This 622-nucleotide ribosomal RNA is filed under the name Prymnesium parvum. Its description in RNAcentral is "partial Bacterial small subunit ribosomal RNA". It matches the Rfam family "Bacterial small subunit ribosomal RNA", at positions 908 to 1529 of the family's 1533-position model. The record is from RNAcentral. Lineage: Eukaryota; Haptophyta; Prymnesiales; Prymnesiaceae.
AAUUGACGGGGACCCGCACAAGCGGUGGAUGAUGUGGAUUAAUUCGAUGCAACGCGAAAAACCUUACCUACCCUUGACAUGCUAGGAAUCCUGCAGAGAUGUGGGAGUGCUCGAAAGAGAACCUAGACACAGGUGCUGCAUGGCCGUCGUCAGCUCGUGUCGUGAGAUGUUCGGUUAAGUCCGGCAACGAGCGCAACCCACAUCCUUAGUUGCCAGCAGUUCGGCUGGGCACUCUAAGGAAACUGCCCGUGAUAAGCGGGAGGAAGGUGUGGAUGACGUCAAGUCCUCAUGGCCCUUACGGGUUGGGCUACACACGUGCUACAAUGGCGGUGACAGAGGGCAGCGAGGCCGCGAGGCCGAGCGAAUCUCCAAAAGCCGUCUCAGUUCGGAUUGUUCUCUGCAACUCGAGAGCAUGAAGGCGGAAUCGCUAGUAAUCGCGGAUCAGCAUGCCGCGGUGAAUACGUUCCCGGGUCUUGUACACACCGCCCGUCACACCAUGGGAGUGGGUUGCUCCAGAAGUAGAUAGUCUAACCCUCGGGAGGACGUUUACCACGGAGUGAUUCAUGACUGGGGUGAAGUCGGAACAAGGUAGCCGUAUCGGAAGGUGCGGCUGGAUCACCUC